CGGGAGUGUUCAGUAUGGAGAUGUGUUAGGGCUCCGAUGUGUUGGGAUCCCAGGAUGUGUGUCAUCCGAAUUUUUGUUUGUGUAGAUCGAGUCUAGCUUUCUUUUUGUGUAGUUAGGCCUCGAUGGUGAGACCAUUUGUUUGUUUAGUAAUUGUUUGUUUGCUUGCUUGCUUGUUUGUUUGUUGCUUCUGCUGUGUUGUUUACUAACCAAUUGUUGAUUGUGUUUGGGGCAUGGGCUGAAGGGGGUCGCUGUUGUUUAUUUUUGGGAACUCACUGAGUAAUUCCGAUUACUCAUCCCCUCUUCUACUAUGCAGGUAACCCGUAGGUAGGAAGCUUAGGGCGCAGCGGAACGGGAAGCGA
RNAcentral lists this long non-coding RNA (359 nucleotides) under Brassica napus (rape). RNAcentral's name for it is "long non-coding RNA (BNAP_LNC005897)". Lineage: Eukaryota; Viridiplantae; Streptophyta; Magnoliopsida; Brassicales; Brassicaceae. The record is from RNAcentral.